AGGACGAACGCUGGCGGCGUGCUUAACACAUGCAAGUCGAGCGAGACUUCGGUCUAGCGGCGAACGGGUGAGUAACACGUGGGCAACCUGCCCCGAGCUCUGGGAUAACUCCGGGAAACCGGGGCUAAUACCGGAUACGACCCGAGAAGACAUCUUCUCGGGUGGAAAGUUUUUCGGCUCGGGACUGGGCCCGCGGCCUAUCAGCUUGUUGGUGGGGUAACGGCCUACCAAGGCGACGACGGGUAGCCGGCCUGAGAGGGCGACCGGCCACACUGGGACUGAGACACGGCCCAGACUCCUACGGGAGGCAGCAGUGGGGAAUAUUGCGCAAUGGGCGAAAGCCUGACGCAGCGACGCCGCGUGAGGGAUGAAGGCCUUCGGGUUGUAAACCUCUUUCAGCAGGGACGAAGCGAAAGUGACGGUACCUGCAGAAGAAGCACCGGCCAACUACGCGCCAGCAGCCGC
RNAcentral lists this ribosomal RNA (465 nucleotides) under uncultured bacterium. Its description in RNAcentral is "SSU rRNA". It matches the Rfam family "Bacterial small subunit ribosomal RNA", at positions 26 to 518 of the family's 1533-position model. The record is from RNAcentral.